RNAcentral lists this ribosomal RNA (2452 nucleotides) under Salmonella enterica subsp. enterica serovar Typhimurium. Its description in RNAcentral is "partial 23S ribosomal RNA". It matches the Rfam family "Bacterial large subunit ribosomal RNA", at positions 582 to 2925 of the family's 2925-position model. The record is from RNAcentral. Lineage: Bacteria; Pseudomonadati; Pseudomonadota; Gammaproteobacteria; Enterobacterales; Enterobacteriaceae.
CCCUUCGGGGUGUGACUGCGUACCUUUUGUAUAAUGGGUCAGCGACUUAUAUUCUGUAGCAAGGUUAACCGUAUAGGGGAGCCGGAGGGAAACCGAGUCUUAAUUGGGCGUUAAGUUGCAGGGUAUAGACCCGAAACCCGGUGAUCUAGCCAUGGGCAGGUUGAAGGUUGGGUAACACUAACUGGAGGACCGAACCGACUAAUGUUGAAAAAUUAGCGGAUGACCUGUGGCUGGGGGUGAAAGGCCAAUCAAACCGGGAGAUAGCUGGUUCUCCCCGAAAGCUAUUUAGGUAGCGCCUCGUGAAUUCAUCUCCGGGGGUAGAGCACUGUUUCGGCUAGGGGGCCAUCCCGGCUUACCAACCCGAUGCAAACUGCGAAUACCGGAGAAUGUUAUCACGGGAGACACACGGCGGGUGCUAACGUCCGUCGUGAAGAGGGAAACAACCCAGACCGCCAGCUAAGGUCCCAAAGUCAUGGUUAAGUGGGAAACGAUGUGGGAAGGCCCAGACAGCCAGGAUGUUGGCUUAGAAGCAGCCAUCAUUUAAAGAAAGCGUAAUAGCUCACUGGUCGAGUCGGCCUGCGCGGAAGAUGUAACGGGGCUAAACCAUGCACCGAAGCUGCGGCAGCGAACGUAUCACCCAAGACAACUUUACGGAGUUGACGAUUGACGGAGCGAAGCGACGUCAAAGCGUUCAUUAAAGUCGAGUUGGCUUAGGGAUACGUUCGUUGGGUAGGGGAGCGUUCUGUAAGCCUGUGAAGGUGUGUCGUGAGGCAUGCUGGAGGUAUCAGAAGUGCGAAUGCUGACAUAAGUAACGAUAAAGCGGGUGAAAAGCCCGCUCGCCGGAAGACCAAGGGUUCCUGUCCAACGUUAAUCGGGGCAGGGUGAGUCGACCCCUAAGGCGAGGCCGAAAGGCGUAGUCGAUGGGAAACGGGUUAAUAUUCCCGUACUUGGUGUUACUGCGAAGGGGGGACGGAGAAGGCUAUGUUGGCCGGGCGACGGUUGUCCCGGUUUAAGCGUGUAGGUGUGUGUUCCAGGUAAAUCCGGUUCACUUUAACACUGAGGCGUGACGACGAGGCACUACGGUGCUGAAGCAACAAAUGCCCUGCUUCCAGGAAAAGCCUCUAAGCAUCAGGUAACACGAAAUCGUACCCCAAACCGACACAGGUGGUCAGGUAGAGAAUACCAAGGCGCUUGAGAGAACUCGGGUGAAGGAACUAGGCAAAAUGGUGCCGUAACUUCGGGAGAAGGCACGCUGACACGUAGGUGAAGUGAUUUACUCAUGGAGCUGAAGUCAGUCGAAGAUACCAGCUGGCUGCAACUGUUUAUUAAAAACACAGCACUGUGCAAACACGAAAGUGGACGUAUACGGUGUGACGCCUGCCCGGUGCCGGAAGGUUAAUUGAUGGGGUCAGCGUAAGCGAAGCUCCUGAUCGAAGCCCCGGUAAACGGCGGCCGUAACUAUAACGGUCCUAAGGUAGCGAAAUUCCUUGUCGGGUAAGUUCCGACCUGCACGAAUGGCGUAAUGAUGGCCAGGCUGUCUCCACCCGAGACUCAGUGAAAUUGAACUCGCUGUGAAGAUGCAGUGUACCCGCGGCAAGACGGAAAGACCCCGUGAACCUUUACUAUAGCUUGACACUGAACAUUGAGCCUUGAUGUGUAGGAUAGGUGGGAGGCUUUGAAGUGUGGACGCCAGUCUGCAUGGAGCCGACCUUGAAAUACCACCCUUUAAUGUUUGAUGUUCUAACGUGGACCCGUAAUCCGGGUUGCGGACAGUGUCUGGUGGGUAGUUUGACUGGGGCGGUCUCCUCCUAAAGAGUAACGGAGGAGCACGAAGGUUGGCUAAUCCUGGUCGGACAUCAGGAGGUUAGUGCAAUGGCAUAAGCCAGCUUGACUGCGAGCGUGACGGCGCGAGCAGGUGCGAAAGCAGGUCAUAGUGAUCCGGUGGUUCUGAAUGGAAGGGCCAUCGCUCAACGGAUAAAAGGUACUCCGGGGAUAACAGGCUGAUACCGCCCAAGAGUUCAUAUCGACGGCGGUGUUUGGCACCUCGAUGUCGGCUCAUCACAUCCUGGGGCUGAAGUAGGUCCCAAGGGUAUGGCUGUUCGCCAUUUAAAGUGGUACGCGAGCUGGGUUUAGAACGUCGUGAGACAGUUCGGUCCCUAUCUGCCGUGGGCGCUGGAGAACUGAGGGGGGCUGCUCCUAGUACGAGAGGACCGGAGUGGACGCAUCACUGGUGUUCGGGUUGUCAUGCCAAUGGCACUGCCCGGUAGCUAAAUGCGGAAGAGAUAAGUGCUGAAAGCAUCUAAGCACGAAACUUGCCCCGAGAUGAGUUCUCCCUGAGACUUAGAGUCUCCUGAAGGAACGUUGAAGACGACGACGUUGAUAGGCCGGGUGUGUAAGCGCAGCGAUGCGUUGAGCUAACCGGUACUAAUGAACCGUGAGGCUUAACCUUACA